Long non-coding RNA from Mobula hypostoma (lesser devil ray), 684 nucleotides. RefSeq lists it as uncharacterized. The transcript is spliced from 4 exons. NCBI's taxonomy places the organism in Eukaryota, Metazoa, Chordata, Chondrichthyes, Myliobatiformes, Myliobatidae. The record is from RefSeq and is a predicted model, not a curated record.
GCUCACACUCCGAGACGCUGAGGGGUAUAGUCGCCAUGGUGUAGACGCCUCGCCCCUGUCCUUCGCCAACUUCCUUCUUCCUUUUAUGGUAAAGGCAGGAUCAUAGUUCCCUUCCGUGGGUUCCAAUGUCAAAAACAUUGUUGCUUCUCCAGUAUUCAUUUCCCAGGCUCUCUGCAACCAUUGGUCACAUUUAUUUUAAUAUCAGGUGGUCUAAAGCUGUGCGAAGAGCCAUGGAGAUUGCGUCUGCCAUUCACCUAUUAUGACGAUAGGCAAUUUGCAAUGGGUCCAGGUCCUUGCUGGGGCAGGAGUUCAGUCUAGUCAUAACCAGCCUCUCAAAGCAUUUCAUCACUGUCGAUGUCAUUUCCCAGAUAUGUGAGGGAAGAAAGCUAUCCUCAGAGCCUUCACCUUGAACAUUUCCUACCAUCAAUUUCGACAUUUUGCCCUCACGGAUCCCCACCAACCAGGUCAUGUUCUGUUUUCGCUGCUGCCAUCAGGAAGAAGGUACAGGAGCCCCAAGACUCAUACCAUCAGGUUCCUGAACCAGAGGGGACAACGUGUCUUGCCCAAUUACUGAACUGUUCCCACAACCUAUGGACUCGCUCUCAAGGACUCUUCAUCUCAUGUUCUUGAUACUUAUUGCUCGUUUAUUAUUAUUAUUUCUUUCUUUUGAAUUUGCACACUGGU